GAUGAACGCUGGCGGCGUGCCUAAUACAUGCAAGUCGAGCGAACAGACGAGGAGCUUGCUCCUCUGACGUUAGCGGCGGACGGGUGAGUAACACGUGGAUAACCUACCUAUAAGACUGGGAUAACUUCGGGAAACCGGAGCUAAUACCGGAUAAUAUAUUGAACCGCAUGGUUCAAUAGUGAAAGACGGUUUUGCUGUCAUUUAUAGAUGGAUCCGCGCCGCAUUAGCUAGUUGGUAAGGUAACGGCUUACUAAGGCAACGAUGCGUAGCCGACCGGAGAGGGGGAUGGCCCACACUGGAUCUUGGUCACUGUCCAGACUCCUACGGGAAGCAUCAGUAGGCAUUCUGCCACAAUGUGCGGAAGCCUGCCGCAGCUGCGCCGCGUGCGUGGUGAAAGUCUUCGGAUCGUAAGUCUCUGUUUUUAGGGAAUAACAAAUGUGUAAGUAACUAUGCACGUCUUGACGGUACCUAAUCAGAAAGCCACGGCUAACUACGUG
Molecule: ribosomal RNA, 497 nt
Filed under: uncultured bacterium
Lineage: Bacteria
Description: partial 16S ribosomal RNA
Rfam family: Bacterial small subunit ribosomal RNA
Source: RNAcentral